GGAGACCCCUAUUCCCCUCACAGAAUUGCAGUUCCCAGAGCUGUUUAGCAAUCAAUCCUCCUUCAUAGGAAACUCUGGGAAUUGUAUCUCUGUGAGGGGAACGGGGGUCUG
Podarcis lilfordi (Lilford's wall lizard) is the source of this 111-nucleotide non-coding RNA. Lineage: Eukaryota; Metazoa; Chordata; Lepidosauria; Squamata; Lacertidae. The record is from the annotation of a GenBank genome assembly.